GUCUAUGGCCAUACCACCCUGAAUUCUGAUCUCAGAAUCUAAGCAGGGUUGGGCCUGGUUAGUACCUAGAUGGGAGAAGUUAGAGGUUUCCCAGAUCUGGCUGAGUUGAAGACA
This 114-nucleotide ribosomal RNA is filed under the name Meriones unguiculatus (Mongolian gerbil). The record is from RNAcentral. Lineage: Eukaryota; Metazoa; Chordata; Mammalia; Rodentia; Muridae.